UAGGGAAUCUUCGGCAAUGGGGGGAACCCUGGCCGAGCAACGCCACGUGAGUGAAGAAGGUUUUCGGAUCGUAAAGCUCUGUUGUUAAGGAAGAACGAGUGUGAGAAUGGAAAGUUCAUACUGUGACGGUACUUAACCAGAAAGGGACGGCUAACUACGUGCCAGCAGCCGCGGUAAUACGUAGGUCCCGAGCGUUGUCCGGAUUUAUUGGGCGUAAAGCGAGCGCAGGCGGUUAGAUAAGUCUGAAGUUAAAGGCAGUGGCUCAACCAUUGUAGGCUUUGGAAACUGUUUAACUUGAGUGCAGAAGGGGAGAGUGGAAUUCCAUGUGUAGCGGUGAAAUGCGUAGAUAUAUGGAGGAACACCGGUGGCGAAAGCGGCUCUCUGGUCUGUAACUGACGCUGAGGCUCGAAAGCGUGGGGAGCGAACAGGAUUAGAUACCCUGGUAGUCCACGCCGUAAACGAUGAGUGCUAGGUGUUAGGUCCUUUCCGGGACUUAGUGCCGCAGCUAACGCAUUAAGCACUCCGCCUGGGGAGUACGACCGCAAGGUUG
Molecule: ribosomal RNA, 550 nt
Filed under: uncultured bacterium
Lineage: Bacteria
Description: bacterial SSU rRNA
Rfam family: Bacterial small subunit ribosomal RNA
Source: RNAcentral